AUAUCUCUCUGUACGGGAAGGAUGAGAAGCUUCGACUAAGGUUCGAUUCGAGCGCAGCGAGAAAGCGUUGCCGUAGGCAACGACCCGAA
This 89-nucleotide small RNA is filed under the name Salmonella enterica. RNAcentral's name for it is "partial RtT sRNA". It matches the Rfam family "RtT RNA", at positions 1 to 88 of the family's 130-position model. From Rfam's summary of the family: This family represents a bacterial cis-regulatory element known as RtT RNA. The record is from RNAcentral. RNAcentral also lists the same sequence under 1 other name. Lineage: Bacteria; Pseudomonadati; Pseudomonadota; Gammaproteobacteria; Enterobacterales; Enterobacteriaceae.